RNAcentral lists this ribosomal RNA (490 nucleotides) under uncultured bacterium. RNAcentral describes it as "partial 16S ribosomal RNA". It matches the Rfam family "Bacterial small subunit ribosomal RNA", at positions 30 to 507 of the family's 1533-position model. The record is from RNAcentral.
AUUGAACGCUGGCGGCAGGCCUAACACAUGCAAGUCGAACGGUAACAGGAAACAGCUUGCUGUCUCGCUGACGAGUGGCGGCCGGGUGAGUAAUGUCUGGGAAACUUCCUGAUGGAGGGGGAUAACUACUGGAAACGGUAGCUAAUACCGCAUAACGUCGCAAGACCAAAGAGGGGGACCCUCGGGCCUCUUGCCAUCGGAUGUGCCCAGAUGGGAUUAGCUUGUUGGCGGGGUAACGGCUCACCAAGGCGACGAUCCCUAGCUGGUCUGAGAGGAUGACCAGCCACACUGGAACUGAGACACGGUCCAGACUCCUACGGGAGGCAGCAGUGGGGAAUAUUGCACAAUGGGCGCAAGCCUGAUGCAGCCAUGCCGCGUGUAUGAAGAAGGCCUUCGGGUUGUAAAGUACUUUCAGCGGGGAGGAAGGGAGUAAAGUUAAUACCUUUGCUCAUUGACGUUACCCGCAGAAGAAGCACCGGCUAACUCCGUG